UCUGUCAAUCUUUGGAGGAGGCACAGUCACCUGCUGGACUCAUCAGGUUGUAUCCAUUUAGGUUUGGGGGUAAUUAGCAUGGAGCAGGAACUCUGGCCACCAGCAGCCCUGUAAACGACCUCUGACCUCCCCUACAUGAUCAGCACAUUGAGAGGAGGGCCGGCUUUAAUUAGGAGGUCAUUAAGAGCCAACCUCAACCCACCAUGGGACCACAUAAAGCCAGCAUGCACUCCCACCUGCAAUCACAAAACCUGCACCCCGACCAACCAUUCAAACACAGCUGAGCGCUGCACAAACGGCAUGUCUGUGAUUCAUUUCUUUCUCUUUGCCUUAUGCAAGAUCAUUAAACGUUGAUCCUGGUCCAAAAUAAAUUUGCUCAGCUCUACUGAAGUAAAAAUAUUAGAUUAAUGAAGUGCUUUCCUUUUUUUUUUCAAGCAUUUAUGCACUAAGAGGUCACAUGAAAUUUGCUGGGAGGAAAAAAAGGGGUUUAAACCCUGGUGGUUUUUCACAGGAUUAAAAAUGGAGGAAAUGGAAAUUAAAAGUGUAUGAAAGGCGGUUGAGCUGAGUCUAAAGACGUGACACAACAGAGUCAGAUUGAGUAUAAAGGUGAGAGAAAAUGGAUGACAAGGGAAAGAGCGAGCUUUUAUUCAGGCCUCUGAUUUCACACUCGCACAAAGAGCUUUGGGGACGUUUCAUCCUUUUCACAUUUCUUCUGCAUUUAGUCAGUGUUAUUCUGCAGUGCAGUGUCUCCUCUAAGAGAGAGGGAGCGCUGCCCAGAGAGGAGUCAGCUCCAUUCACAGCUUUAUAAAUCACCUCAGCAUGUGCAGACCGUGGCCAAUCGGCCAAUUACGCCCCCCUGACACACCGGGGCCGAUAAAGAAGGCCUGGGACAAAGGGAUCACAGGCCAGAUAAACGACCCUUUAAUGAAGUCGCCCACAAAACAGGCCAAAACCGCGCGCCCCACUUACGUAUUCCAUCACGCCGUUGCCCUCACAUUUCCUCUUGCUCGGCCGCAGCGGCAGGCACAGCUGGGGAGAGGGAGACAUAGAGUAGGAGAGGCAGAGAGGGAGAAAAAUGACUCUGUGCUCUGACACUGCUAAGCCCCCCAUCCAAGGCCCCUUUCAGACUUUUGGCCGAACAAAAGCAUCUGUUGCCAUACUGUGCCGCUCAGACCCCCCCUCACACUCAUGCAUACUGGAGCCGGGUACGGAGCCUCGCAGGAGCUAAAAGAGGCAGCACAGGGCCGUAUGCAGCUGAGGCUGCUCACCUUGUGGCACAAGCUAUUGUGAGCCCCCGUUCCAGGAGCUUCUCCAUCCAUCUUUGUGUCUGUGGGACAAAUAGAGAAAGAGAGAGAGAGAGAAACUUUGUGUGACAGAGAGAGAGAGAGGGGCACAGGACUGCAGCUGCAGGAUGAAUAGGAGAGGGAAUGAAGGGAUGAGGUGGGAGCAAGAGAGAGAGAAGGGGGCAGCUGCAGGGUGGUCCCACCCUCCGGCCCUCCACCUCCACAGAGUUGUUUGGCUUCUCUUUGGAUUCAGAACACAAACAACUUCAUGGUGCAGGAGCAGAGAGUUUCUGUCAACCUCAGAGAGGGUCUCAGACAGAGCGAGAGGGAAGAGAGAGGAGGAGAGGUGUUUGUUUACUUCAGAGUUUCAUAUUUUAACCUCACAGGAUAGACCUUAAGCUCACAUCCAAAACUUCUAUGACACUCAUGACUACAGAUGUGUGCACACAUGAUGCACACAGUAGGAACACAAUAAAUACAAUGUCACUGAGGUCUAAAACUGGUGUGCUCCUCUGUUUAUUAGUUGCAUACUAUUUUGUCCCUUAUGGCUCUCCAUAGUAAAGCUGCUGCUGUGUCCUCCUGCUUCUUGCUGCUGCCUUUUGAAAAAUAACAACAUGGCUACACUAUUUGAUGCUGUCAAAAAACUGUACCUGAAACCGUUAGGCAAAACAAGGCCUUCAAAGUUUUGAACUUAAACUGUGCAAAGGAUAAACACGCAGCAGUUUCUGCAUUUCAAAAUAAAUUGAUUAUGAUUUUAAAUUAACAUAAAUUACCUAUUUUAAAUUUUUACUGUAUAAGCCACUGAAGUGUAUCUCCCUGGAGUUGUGGGUUGUGAAUAGGGUUGGGCAUGGUCUUGAGCAUUGAUGGGAAUUUGGAAUAACUAUAAUAAAAUAAUCCACACACCAAAUCAUUUGCGCACCUGAAUUACAUGUGAAGUCGAUGCAAAGACGCAAUUAGACACUCGUACAACUCUGGCGGCGCAAAUAACACGAGUUGGGCAGGAGCUGAAAAUGUCUCAACUUGAGCGAAUAUUUGCUUCGCAAUACUGCCAGGUGAGGUAUGAAAAUGGACGGUUGUUCACUGGUAUCUAAAAUGGAGUAUAAACUGAUCAUGUUGGUGUGUGGGUGCCCCGAAUUAUAU
This is a non-coding RNA of Xyrichtys novacula (pearly razorfish), 2423 nucleotides long. The record is from the annotation of a GenBank genome assembly. NCBI's taxonomy places the organism in Eukaryota, Metazoa, Chordata, Actinopteri, Labriformes, Labridae.